RNAcentral lists this ribosomal RNA (433 nucleotides) under uncultured bacterium. Its description in RNAcentral is "partial 16S ribosomal RNA". It matches the Rfam family "Bacterial small subunit ribosomal RNA", at positions 29 to 507 of the family's 1533-position model. The record is from RNAcentral.
AACGAACGCUGGCGGCAUGCCUAACACAUGCAAGUCGAACGAUGCCUUCGGGCAUAUUGGCGCACGGGUGCGUAACGCGUGGGAAUCUGCCUUUCGGUUCGGAAUAACUCAGGGAAACUUGAGCUAAUACCGGAUAACGUCGCAAGACCAAAGAUUUAUCACCGAAAGAUGAGCGCGUGUAGGAUUAGCUAGUUGGUGAUGUAAAGGCUCACCAAGGCGACGAUCCUUAGCUGGUCUGAGAGCAUGAUCAGCAACACUGGGACUGCGACACGGCCCAGACUGCGACGCGAGGGAGCGGUAGGGUAUAUUGGACGAUGGGCGAAGGCGUGACCAAGCAAUGCCGCGUGAGUGAUGCAGGGGUUAGGGUUGUAAAGCUCUUUUACACGGGAAGAUAAUGACGGUACCGGGUGAAUAAGCACCGGCUAACUACGUG